AUGGACGUUCAACUCUUGGAUGAGGGAGACACCUUGACCUGGAAGCUAACGGGUAGUGGAGUGUUUUCGGUCAAAUCGAUGUAUUUAGACCUUAUUAAUUCUAGCCCAAUCCCGAGAUCGAUACACAUCUGGAAAGUUAAGGUUCCCUUGCGAAUCAAAAAUUUUAUGUGGUUUGUGCACAAGCAAGUGAUCCUUACCAAAGAUAACUUACUAAAGCGACGAUGGGUAGGUAGUUCUCGAUGUUGCUUUUGUGUUCACGAUGAAACAAUUCAACACUUAUUUAUUGAUUGCCCUCUCGCGAAGUUAAUUUGGCGGUCCAUACAUAUAGCUUUUAAUAUUAUCCCUCCAGUUAGCAUUGAUGCGUUGUUUGGGACGUGGCUAAAUGGAGAGACCCUUGAGAUUGCGUUAAGUAUUCGGAUUGGAAUAUGCACACUUUAUUGGGCUAUAUGA
This 450-nucleotide ribosomal RNA is filed under the name Triticum aestivum (bread wheat). RNAcentral describes it as "partial small subunit ribosomal RNA". The record is from RNAcentral. Lineage: Eukaryota; Viridiplantae; Streptophyta; Magnoliopsida; Poales; Poaceae.